Molecule: long non-coding RNA, 367 nt
Filed under: Lathyrus oleraceus (garden pea)
Lineage: Eukaryota; Viridiplantae; Streptophyta; Magnoliopsida; Fabales; Fabaceae
Description: Pisum sativum (pea) long non-coding RNA (PSAT_LNC005300)
Source: RNAcentral
UUUUUUUUCUCUCUUUUUUUUUGAUUAAUGCCCCAGUUGGCUGUUCUGCUGAUUCUUGAGAUGCAGCUGAGUGUGAUCUUCUUUUCUUGCUCAAGAAGUCGGGAAAUCUCGUCAGGAAUCCCUUCAAUCAUGAUCUUCUUCCGCUUCGAAUACAGGGAAUUCAAAAUUGGGAGAUGACGUCCGAUCCUUAUGUUCAAUGGGUUUGAGAAACAACCUGCAUAAAGAUUUUGAGUAUAAAAAGCACUUUGAAAAUCAAACAAGACAAUCGUUAUGCAGAUGAAAAGAUUGCUUUUAUUCUUGUUUUUUAAGGUUUUUUGUGAUCACCAAUUUCAUGCAAAAAGCGAAAAGGGAAAACAAAUGGAAAAAC